GUUCCAUGCCCAAAACUUGCAUAUCACUUGCGCCUCAAACAAGCUAGGGUAGUCGUCGGGGGGAGGGGGGCGCUUGCUGCUCCCUCCGCCGGCACCAUCUCCAGUCCCGGUGUCGUCUCUCGCUGUUGGAUCCGGAGUCGCGCCUCCACUUUCUUCAUCCUAGUCGAGCCGAGCCACUUUGGGAUCUACCGUUGCUGCCUUUAUACUGUGUCGACUAUUGCGAGACAUAACUCAGCUAACCAAGGAAAUUCGGUGGCACUAACUGAGGUGUUCAAGCACAAUAGUAUUGAUAAUGCACUGCAAAGUGUUGUUGGACACAAGAGAAAGGUGCAUGAUCUAACACCAAAGGAGAAUAUAGGACGUGAAGAUACACAUUCUAGGGCAAAGAAGAUUGGGAAGGCCAGACCCGAUUCUCCAUAUGCUAACUUUACCAAUAGCCAACUGUUAACAACUUCCCGGUCCAAAUGCAUGGACAGGUUUUGGUGUAAUCCAUUCUCAGGUUGUGUUUUUCCUCAUUGCAAAUACAUGCGAGCCUCACAGGAUGACAGGGGCAAGCCACUCAGUAGAUCAAUGAUGUUUAUUGUCUUGUAA
Molecule: long non-coding RNA, 591 nt
Filed under: Oryza sativa tropical japonica subgroup
Lineage: Eukaryota; Viridiplantae; Streptophyta; Magnoliopsida; Poales; Poaceae
Description: lncRNA OsAzu_07g0016740
Source: RNAcentral